AGAACCCGAUCCCAUCCCGAACUCGGCCGUUAAACUCCCCAGCGCUGAUGGUACUAAGUCUCAAGACUUGGGAGAGUAAGUCGCUGCCAGGC
RNAcentral lists this ribosomal RNA (92 nucleotides) under Hyphomicrobiales bacterium. Lineage: Bacteria; Pseudomonadati; Pseudomonadota; Alphaproteobacteria; Hyphomicrobiales. The record is from RNAcentral.